AUGAAAUGGUUGAAGGAUUCCAUUCUCAGCAAACGAUCCAAUAAUUCUUUUCGGAGUACUAUGGUCGGUGAUCUGAAGAUUAGAUUACAUGAAAUUGGCAUCCCUAUGGAUUUAGCUUCGAAAUUGCACGUUUCUGAGUAUGUUAACUCAUACAACUUCGACAACAUAAAUUCUAAGUGCAACCUGCACCUUCUUGCCAAGGAAGAACUAUUAAUUAAGCGCAAUGGAAAGCAAAUCCUUGUUAAGGAGGCAAAUCAGCUGGUAAUUGGUGACAUUGUGCAUAAGUUAUUGCAGGAUAGUGAUUGCAUUCUUAUCAAUAGGCCACCAUCAGUACAUCAACACUCACUUAUUGCGCUAUCUGCGAAGUUAUUACCAGUUCAGUCAGUUCUUUCAAUCAACCCACUGUGUUGUGCACCUUUUAUGGGAGAUUUUGAUGGAGAUUUUUUGCAUGGAUAUGUCACACAGUUUAUACAAUCAAGUGCUGAGCUUGGAGAGCUAGUUAGCUUAAGACGCCAACUGUUGAAUGUGCAAGAUGGUCGAAGUUUGGUGUCAUUAACACAUGACUCUCUGGCUGCUGCGUAUCUAUUAACAAGCUCGGAGGUUUUACUGGAGAAAACUGAAUUUCAACAAUUUCAAAUGUUAUGCCAUCCACUCUCUCUGACAGCAGCACCAUCAGUAUUUAAAUCUGUAUGCUCUCACGGUCCACUGUGGACUGGUAAACAGUUGUUCAGCAUGCUGCUUCCUUCUGAUAUGAAUUUCAGUACUGAUCCUAAGGUACACAUCAUAGAUGGUGAAGUUCUUGCCUGA
This 807-nucleotide ribosomal RNA is filed under the name Triticum aestivum (bread wheat). RNAcentral's name for it is "partial small subunit ribosomal RNA". Lineage: Eukaryota; Viridiplantae; Streptophyta; Magnoliopsida; Poales; Poaceae. The record is from RNAcentral.